GAUGAACGCUGGCGGCGUGCUUAAUACAUGCAAGUCGAACGGAAAGGCCAUGCUUUUGCUGCUUGCUCGUGUGGCGCACGGGUGUGUAAAACGCGAGUAAAAUGUCCCUGUCAUUCUGAUAACACUUGGAGACUCCGGAUAUUACCGCAUAGGAGCUAUUGAACCAUGUUGGGUGUUAGUAAGUUUCGGUGGUUGGGUAUGGACUCGAGGCUUAUCCGCUUGUUUGUGAAGUAGUGGCUUACCAAGGCUUUGACGGGUAGCCGGCCUGAGAGGGUGACCGGCCACAUUGGGACUGAGAUACGGCCCAGACUCCUACGGGAGGCAGCAGUGGGGAAUAUUGCACAAUAGGCGGAAGCCUGAUGCAGCAACGCCGCGUGCGGGAUGACGUCCUUCGGGUUGUAAACCGCUUUCGCCUGUGACGAAGCGUGAGUGACGGUAAUGGGUAAAGAAGCACCGGCUAACUACGUG
Molecule: ribosomal RNA, 468 nt
Filed under: uncultured bacterium
Lineage: Bacteria
Description: partial 16S ribosomal RNA
Rfam family: Bacterial small subunit ribosomal RNA
Source: RNAcentral